CAAAGUGCUGGGAUCAGAGGCAUGAGCCAUCGUGCCCUGCCAGGACCCCCUUUGUUAUGUCACCUUUAUGACCCUCCAUUGUCUCUACACAGGCAAUCUCUAUUUGGCCCAAACCCAAACACUACAAGUUUUUGGUGACAUUUGUAUUGAGUCCCCUUUCUGCAACUCACCAGUGUUGGCCACUGUGAGGCCAUGGUAGAUGUGGGCAGGGAACUGGAGACUCCGGGCCCAGUGGGUUCAACCUCAUGAGGGAGUGGAGUUGAGAUGCUUUGGGGAUCAGUGACACAACCUCUUACUUGGCUUGGGGUGCAAACCUAGACUCCCUGUCACCCUGGCCUUCUCCUCUCCAAGAGAAGGAGAACUGUGGGCAUCGCAGUGGUGACACUUCAGUUAUCACAGGCUCAGCAGCCAAGUGAAAAGAUGAUGUUGGAAUUUCCUAGAUGAUUCCAUUCAUGGAUUGGCCAUGCAGCAGGUGGUUGAGCACCGUCAAGUACACCCCAGGUUCUCCCAGGCCUGGUUUCUCUUGGCUGAUUCCCUGACAUUAGGAAAUGUUUUCAGCAAAGCCUGUGUAUGACACUUAGAUGGAGCAACCCAUUUCCUAGGAAACUGUUCAUUCUAUACAUGUCCCACUUCCUGGUAUCAUUUGGAUCCAGCUGCCUCGAUUGGCCUUUCUUCCUUGGCCCUUCUCUGGCCCCUCCACUAUUAGAUCAACUGAGUAGUUGCUAACCAGACCAGCAACAUAAUUUGUGGGGGCCUGCACAAAAUAGAAUUGCAGGGCCUGGCCAGGCGCAGUGGCUUACACCUGUAAUCCCAGCACUUUGGGAGGCCGAGGCAGGUGCAUCACCUGAAGUCGGAGUUCAAGACCAGCCUGGCCAAAACAUAGAAACCCUGUCUCUACUAAAAAUACAAAAAAUUAGCUGGGCAUGGUGGCACGCACCUGUAAUCCCAGCACUUUGGGAGGCCAAGGCAGAAGGAUAACCUAAGGUCAGGAGUUCGAGACCAGCCUGGCCAACAUGGUGAAACCCCGUCUCUAUUAGAAAUACAAAAAUUAGCCAGAUGUGUUGGCGGGCGCCUGUAAUCACAGCUACUCAGGAGGCUGAGGCAUGAGAAUCACUUGAACCUGGGAGGCAGAGGUUGCAGUGAGCAGAGUUAGCGCCACUGCACUCCAGCCUGGGCAACAGAGCUAGACUCUAUCUCAAAAAAUAAAAAUAAAAAUUCAGGGCCUGUAGUUCAAAAAGUAUCGAGAAUUUCCAGAUGGCAACAGCAGAGCAUUAAACCAAGCAGCUGCCCUUCUAAGUGCAGGGCCUGUGCAGCUUCAGAGGCUGCACGCAGGUGAAGCCAGCCCUGCGUCUUAUGGCAGUAGGAACGGCCCUGCACACCCUUCCUAUGGCUGUGCAGGCCUGUUGGGAUCCUGGUCUGUUGACAGAGUCAUGCUCCUUCCAUUUCAUCGCAAGAGUGUUCCAAAGCCCCAUGGAUUUUAAACUCAGGUUUUUAAGGUUCUCCCUGAUGACAUGGCUCAUAUAUUUGUAGGGAGCAGCAAUUACUUUUUGUAAGCCAUAUUCACUCUACUCAGAAUAUGCACUUAAUAUUUCCUACCUCCUUCAGCCCCACAAGAGCAUCAGAAUUGGCACCCUGGGUCCAAAUGAACCGUUUUCCAUGUGGCUGGAAAUGCUGCCUCUGGCCACCAUACCCAGACUUUUAAUAACCACAGUUCUCCUCUCUGCUCUCAGUCCUUAGGGAUCCCCUCCUAAAAGUCACGAUCUACCCAAGAAUCCACUGUGAAUCGACCAUCCGCCAGUUUCUCCAAACGUUUUAAAGAGCAAUUUGUAUUUUCAACCUGUCUCACCUCUUGGGGAUAAUGAAUUAGACGAGUUGACUA
Homo sapiens (human) is the source of this 1879-nucleotide long non-coding RNA. RefSeq lists it as uncharacterized. NCBI's taxonomy places the organism in Eukaryota, Metazoa, Chordata, Mammalia, Primates, Hominidae. The record is from RefSeq and is a predicted model, not a curated record. The transcript is spliced from 2 exons.